CCUACGGGUGGCAGCAGUGGGGAAUAUUGCGCAAUGGGCGAAAGCCUGACGCAGCGACGCCGCGUGAGGGAUGAAGGUCUUCGGAUCGUAAACCUCUGUCAGCAGGGAAGAACGGUCACUGUGCUAAUCAACAGUGAAUUGACGGUACCUGCAAAGGAAGCACCGGCUAACUCCGUGCCAGCAGCCGCGGUAAUACGGAGGGUGCGAGCGUUAAUCGGAAUUACUGGGCGUAAAGCGCUCGUAGGCGGUAUGUCAAGUCAAGUGUGAAAGCCCCGCGCUCAACGUGGGAACUGCCUUUGAAACUGGCAAACUGGAGUGUGUGAGAGGAUAGUGGAAUUCCAGGUGGAGGAGUGAAAUCCGUAGAUAUCUGGAGGAACAUCAGUGGCGAAGGCGACUAUCUGGCACAUAACUGACGCUGAGGAGCGAAAGCGUGGGUAGCAAACAGGAUUAGAUACCCGAGUAGUC
RNAcentral lists this ribosomal RNA (465 nucleotides) under uncultured bacterium. Its description in RNAcentral is "partial 16S ribosomal RNA". It matches the Rfam family "Bacterial small subunit ribosomal RNA", at positions 338 to 795 of the family's 1533-position model. The record is from RNAcentral.